Rhinopithecus roxellana (golden snub-nosed monkey) is the source of this 1012-nucleotide long non-coding RNA. RefSeq lists it as uncharacterized. The transcript is spliced from 2 exons. The record is from RefSeq and is a predicted model, not a curated record. NCBI's taxonomy places the organism in Eukaryota, Metazoa, Chordata, Mammalia, Primates, Cercopithecidae.
CCUUGCCUUCCGCCAUGAUUGUGAGGCCUCCCCAGCCAUGUGGAACUGCCCUGAGGAUAUCCAGACCCUGGAGGACCAAUGACAGGCAGACAGGCCCAAGAUGGGGAACCCAGAAGCACCCUGAGAUGUCCUAGACCCUGAGAUGUCCUGCCUGAGACCUCCAGGAUUAACUGAACACCAGCAGCUAGUGCUCCUAAGCCCAGCCAUAAGUGACAGUCUAUGAGGACAAACCAGGGACAAACCUGGUCCCCACUUCUUUUCAACUGGAGCCUCCAGCAGACUCUUGCUGGAGUCUGCCUCAAAGCUGCUGCAUCCCCUGGAAACACCUGAAAGGAUGCUCCUGGCUGCAAAGCGCCCUGAGCCUACGACCAGAGGAAGUGCUCCAUCAGUAUCCUGUGUGCCUGCUUAAUGCCUGAUUACCUGCCCGGCUUGUCCUUGUGCAGACGCAAUGGAUGCCAGAAUACCCUAUGGCUGGAGAGAGGCGGGGAGACCCUGGGGUGCUUGUGCCCACGAGCACUACCCCAGCCUGGCAGCACCAGGGAUGGCAGAGGAAGGAAAGCCCCAGGAAUGCCUGUGGGGUGUGACGGCAGCCUCUGAGUGAAGAGCUGUGCUCAACCCCAGCUAAGCCCUCAGGACCCAGGAUAAGGGGCCUUCUUCUACAUAGGUGAGUGGGCUCAUCAGCAUCCCACAUAGAGGGAGGCAGACAAGCCCUGCAAAUCUUCCUCUAAACUUCAUGCAUCUCCUCAGAAGUCCCUAUAAUAAUGACAAGUAAGUUUAUUGAGCACUAAUGAGCUGGGUGCUUGGCUAAGGGGUUUAUGUCAGCAUCUCAUUUAAUUCUCCAAAGAACCUUGUAUGCUAAGUAUUAUGGGGAGCCUGUCCAGUGGGUCAGAAACUAUGACCAACAAUAAAACUUUGAAGACAAUAACAACAAUAAUAACAUUAACAAAGGAAAUGAUGUUUCCUGGAAAUCUAAGGAAGGGAAAUUAAUGUCUGAUGAAGGGAUGAUUAAAGU